RNAcentral lists this ribosomal RNA (406 nucleotides) under uncultured bacterium. RNAcentral describes it as "bacterial SSU rRNA". It matches the Rfam family "Bacterial small subunit ribosomal RNA", at positions 355 to 773 of the family's 1533-position model. The record is from RNAcentral.
UGGGGAAUAUUGCACAAUGGGCGCAAGCCUGAUGCAGCAACGCCGCGUGAGGGACGACGGCCUUCGGGUUGUAAACCUCUUUUGGCAGGGAAGAAGCGAAAGUGACGGUACCUGCAGAAAAAGCACCGGCUAACUACGUGCCAGCAGCCGCGGUGAUACGUAGGGUGCAAGCGUUGUCCGGAAUUAUUGGGCGUAAAGAGCUCGUAGGCGGUUUGUCGCGUCUGCUGUGAAAACCCGAGGCUCAACCUCGGGCCUGCAGUGGGUACGGGCAAACUAGAGUGCGGUAGGGGAGAGUGGAAUUCCUGGUGUAGCGGUGGAAUGCGCAGAUAUCAGGAGGAACACCGAUGGCGAAGGCAGAACUCUGGGCCGUAACUGACGCUGAGGAGCGAAAGCAUGGGGAGCGAAC